ACAGCCCUUCACUCUGGGACAAGCCCUGGAAACGGGGUCUAAUACCGGAUAACACUCUGUCCCGCAUGGGACGGGGUUAAAAGCUCCGGCGGUGAAGGAUGAGCCCGCGGCCUAUCAGCUUGUUGGUGGGGUAAUGGCCUACCAAGGCGACGACGGGUAGCCGGCCUGAGAGGGCGACCGGCCACACUGGGACUGAGACACGGCCCAGACUCCUACGGGAGGCAGCAGUGGGGAAUAUUGCACAAUGGGCGAAAGCCUGAUGCAGCGACGCCGCGUGAGGGAUGACGGCCUUCGGGUUGUAAACCUCUUUCAGCAGGGAAGAAGCGAAAGUGACGGUACCUGCAGAAGAAGCGCCGGCUAACUACGUGCCAGCAGCCGCGGUAAUACGUAGGGCGCAAGCGUUGUCCGGAAUUAUUGGGCGUAAAGAGCUCGUAGGCGGCUUGUCACGUCGGAUGUGAAAGCCCGGGGCUUAACCCCGGGUCUGCAUUCGAUACGGGCUAGCUAGAGUGUGGUAGGGGGAGAUCGGAAUUCCUGGUGUAGCGGUGAAAUGCGCAGAUAUCAGGAGAACACCGGUGGCGAAUGCGGAUCUCUGGGCCAUUA
This 600-nucleotide ribosomal RNA is filed under the name Streptomyces anulatus. RNAcentral's name for it is "bacterial SSU rRNA". It matches the Rfam family "Bacterial small subunit ribosomal RNA", at positions 125 to 739 of the family's 1533-position model. Lineage: Bacteria; Bacillati; Actinomycetota; Actinomycetes; Kitasatosporales; Streptomycetaceae. The record is from RNAcentral.